Long non-coding RNA from Panthera uncia (snow leopard), 393 nucleotides. RefSeq lists it as uncharacterized. The record is from RefSeq and is a predicted model, not a curated record. The transcript has 4 exons. Lineage: Eukaryota; Metazoa; Chordata; Mammalia; Carnivora; Felidae.
GGGCAUGGUCCCAGAAUAUGAAGCAUGAUGAAAAGGCUUCCCAGGAACUGGCACUGGUGGUCCCCAUGGCAUUGAGCCAAAGAGGUGAGAAUAUAUUAACAACUUGGAUAUAAAGAGGAUCAAAUAACCUUUCCUAUCGUCCGUGGUUCUCAAGUUUCAGAGCGACUCCCAUGAGAAAGAUUCACCAAGGCACUUGUUGGCAGUCGAUAACCUCUACCAGGGUCAGCUCAAUUUCCUGCCUCCUCAAACCACCUGAGUCUGGCUUCAGCAUCCACAAUUACACUAAAAUGCAAAUCUGAUCAUGUCACAGCUUUGAUUUUGAUGAUUUCACAUUGCUUUAAGGAUGAAGAUCAAGAUACCAAAAUCUUAACAUGUCCUCAAAGUUGGCUUACA